GGGUCCGGAGAAGGAGCAGGUACAGCGGCCGGACUCCCGGGUCUGAAUGAACAGGGAGCUGGAGGCUUAGCCUCCUGGUUCCCGGAGAGGAGGGCGCUGGAGACCCAGAUUCUUGGGUCAGACAAAGGAGAGGGUCGUGGGGGUCGCUGGGGGGGCUCCGGACUCCCGGGUCCUUGGGGACAAAUACGAGGGAGGCUGGGGGAGGAAAGCGCUGGGGUCCCGGACUGCUGGGUCCCCGGGUAGGGUGCGGGGUGGUGGACGACUCCGGGUCCUAUGGGACUGAACUGGAGCCCUCCCACCUCUUGUUCCUGUCCCUAGGGCUGGAUCCCCAAGAUCUUCAAGAAGAAGACAUGCACGACAUUCAUCGUUGACCCCACAGACUCGGGGUGAGGAACUCGCCCCAGGGACCGAGCUCAGAGCAUCCCCGGAGCGUCCCCGGAGCGUCCCGGCCCACCGACCCCACUCACCUACCCCCCCACCCCCUUAUGUCAUUGCGGACACUCCCAAGGGCGUUCCCGGUGGCGCUCUCCCUCGGGGGAGGGUUUGGGUCCCUGUGGACGCUUCCAAUUUCCCUUGCCUGGUCAGAGUCAGUGUUAAAGCCCCAGGGCUUGGUUCUGUUUCUUUCCUUCCCUGCGUCUCCUCUUUGUGUCUCCUUGCCUCACUUUCUCCUUUGGCUGUUUCUGUUUCAUUCAUUCAUUCAUUCAUUCAUUCGUCCGUCCGUCCAUCCAAGAAGCCUUCAUUCGGUGCUCCCAAGGGAGCACAAUUAUCGGGAGCACGGGCCCUGCCAGGGUUCAAAUGUCACCUGGGAUUGGUGCUGUGUGGCUUUGGGUAAAUCAUUUCACCUCUCUGGGCCUCAUCUGUCACCUGGACAGACAGACAGGCCGCCUCCUGAGUGGAGCAUGUAUUGUGAGGAUUUAAACAAGUAAACGCUUGUGAUGUUUCUGGAACAGCGCCCAGCACAUGGUUUGCGCUGGAAAAGGCCUGCCAUCCCCCCCUGGAAGAUAGCAGUUACCACCGUGCGCGGGCCCCGUGCGCGGGCUCGGUGCCCGGGGCCACUUGCGUGAGUCCCGUGGGGUGUUUGCCUCCCUUGAGGAGCUCCCGGCUUUCAGUGACGGUCUCGCCAGUGGAUUCUGGCCUUGUGGUUGUCUUCAAGACAAUCUCUGGGGCGUGGGAAAUGUCAGCAUUCCUAACGUUGAGUGUGCUGUGAACACAUUAGCACAGUGUGGCUUGCGAUUAUGUAUAAAUAAACAGAUCUACAUUACUGGGGGGGGUGAGUGCUCUAAACCCUUCUGCUGAUGGGGAGUGUGGCCAAGGCAGUUUCGGAACCUCUGGGCUGGUGGGAAGAGGACCAGAAGGCAUGGAGACAGGAACUCGGCAAGACUGCAGCUGGCCCUGCGGGAGCCCCGAGGAGAGUCUGGCUAAGGCUGGGGAGGGGACACAGGGUGUCACUGGUGGCUAGUGGAGGAGGAGGAGCCAAGGAAGUGGCAUUUGAAGGGUGAGUUGGAGUUUGACAGUUGAAGGCAGUAUAGAGAGAAGAGGUGGGGUGGGGGGUGGGGGGUGAAGGUGGUUCCAGGUACGGGAUGUGCAGCAUGGGCGGUGUGGCUGGAGAAUGGAGCGAAGUUCAAGGUGCAGGAGGGCUCUGUGGCGGAGGGUGGGGCCGGACGGCUCUGGGCCUCACCGGCGGGGACCUUGGCCUGGGGGUGCUGGGGUGCUGUGGGAGGGGCGGGGUCAGCUCUGGGUGUGGAAAGACCCGCUGGGACUUGUGUCAGGUUGAAUAGGAGUUCUGGAAGGCCCGGAAGAGGCUGGGCUAGGGUCUGGGUGGGACCAGAAGAGGCCUGAGCCAGGCCACAGCUGUGGGGACACAGGGCUGGGACAGGGGCAGGAGCUUGGGGACUGAUGGAUUUCAGGAGUAAGAGGGGAGUGAGAAGGGGGACGAUGGCUCCUGGACCUCUGGUCUGGGACCUGGGAGACAGUCGGAUUGUCCCUGAGAUGGAGAAUCCAGGAGGAGGAGGGGCUGUGCUGGUAAUUCUAAGACUUGGGUUUUUUUGUUCGUUUUUGGUUUUUUUUUCACGGAAGAGUAUUUUUUUUUUUUAGAGAGAAAGAGUGGGAGAGGGGCAGAGAGAGAGGGAGACAGAGAAUCCCAAGCAGGCUCGGAGCCUGACAGGGGGCUCGAACCCACGAAUUGUGAGAUCAUGACCUGAGCCAAAAUCAAGAGUCGCACGCUUAACCUCCUGAGCGCCCCAGGUGCCCCGCGUGGAAGCGUAUUUUUGGAAACCUGUCUCUGAACACCUGAAAACAAACAUGCCACCUCAGGCCACCCCAGUUGCUAGCACAUCCACAGGUUUUCCACCUCCUGCUUCUUUCCCUUGCGUUCCUUGCUUGGCCUCUGGGGGCAUCGAGUUUGAGACCCAAGUUGGGAAGCCAUGUGGCCCAGGGUUCUGGGAGGCGCAGAGAGAGAGAGAGAGAGAGAGAGAGAGAGCGAAGGCCACGAAUGAUGCCGGGACAAGGCAGCUAGGGAAGGAGGGGUUCCCUGCCAAGGAAAGGAAAGGGUGUUUUAGACUCAGAGCCUUUUAGCAGUGACCAGUGCUAUUUAAUGAUAGUCACCUGAGACCUGAAUAGGGGCCAUUGUAUUUGGGGACAUGUCGGUAAUUGCUGAUGUUAUCAGGAACAGUUUCAGCUCUGGCGACUUCACAGAGGAAGAAAGGUAGGAGGUGAGAAGUGCAGAGAGGGAGUCUGCCAGUUCUGCUCACCAGAACUUUCUGCAAUGGGGGCAGUGUUCCGAAUCCAUAUCCAAUAUGGCAGCCACUGGCCACAUGUGGUUCCUGAGCACUUGAAACGUGGCCAGAGCUGAAUUUUUUAUUGUAUUUAAUUUUAAUUUAUUUAAAUGUAAAGAGCCACCAGUCGGUUAAGUGUAGGACUGCUGAUCUCGGUUCAGGUCAUAACGUCACAGCUCGUGAGUUCAAGCCCCAUGUCCGGCCCUGCGCUGAUAAUACAGGUCCUGCUUGGGAUUCUCUGUCUCCGUCUCUCUCUGCCCCUGCCCCACUUGUGCUGUCUCCCCCGACUCCAAAAAUAUAUAUAAAUAAAUAAACUUAAAAAAAUUAUUUUAAAAAGGUGUAAAGAGCCACAUGCGGCUAUGGUCUACUGUAUUAGACGGCUGAGGUUCUGGAACGUUCCAUGAAGGAGUUUUGCCUACAGGGCUAGUGGGAAGUAGAUGGACGGUAAUGAGGGGGUCCAGGGGUGGGGUUGAAAUAGGUGAAAGGAUCAAGAGGGUAAACUGAGGCAUGCCGGGUCCCUGAAGGUAGACUCAGAAAUGAAGAAGGAUGUGUCCUUCACUGUAGUUCUCUGUGCCAGGAGUUGGGCUGAGUGUAUUCUGUUCAUCCUGUGUGGAUUGGUGGCCAUUCUUUUACGUGUGGAUUGGUCCUUAAGUCGAGGCUGGCUCCACUUAGGUAAAUGCGGGUCUCUUCUGGAGUCAGGGACCGAAGACAUUUAGAUACAUUUUCUUUUAUUUUCUUUUAAUUUUUUUUUUUGUUGUUGAUUUAUUUUUGAGAGAUAGAGCACGAGCAGAGGAGGGGCAGAGAGAGAGGGAGACACAGAAUCCGAUGCAGGCUCCAGGCUCUGAGCUGUCAGCACAGAGCCGGACACGGGGCUUGAACUCACGGACCGCGAGAUCGGGACCUGAGCCGAAGUUGGACGCUCAACCGACUGAGCCACUCAGGCGCCCCUAGAUACAUUUUCAAGUAAAUCCCUCACUCGCCAAACCCAUGCCGCUUGCUCUUUAAAAGGCAGGUGCCAAUCAUUUGCGCAUUUAAAGCAAAAAGCUUCAUCCAUGAUUACCGUAAAUGGAAAAACCUCCAUUUGCCACAAAGAGAAAGAAACAAGCAGGAAGAGACGAUUACAAUGAAAAGCAAAAAAAAAAAAAGUAAUGGGUCCCAGCCAAUAAACACCAGAGUGAGUUCAAAAAAAUAAAUAUAAAGGGGGGAAAAAAGAGUAAUGGGGUGCCUGGCUGGGUCAGUCGGUGGAACGUGGGGCUCUUGAUCUCCCCGUGGUGAGUUCGACCUCCACGCUGGGUGUAGAGAUCACUUAAAGAAAUAAAUAAGCUUAAAAAAGAAAAAGUGUAACAAAGGGGUAGGCGUUAAGGAUCUUCUAGCGCCCAGCUUAAGCCUCUCUCCUCGACGGGAAUCAGGAGCACUGGAAAAGAAAUGACUUUCUCGCUGUGUCAUUCGAGGUUAUUUAAAGCUCUGUGUGGCGUGUCCCGUGGAGCGGUUUCUCCGCCUGAGUCUGGUAGGCAGCCCUCGUUUCAGAAAACGCUGUGUUGUUUCCCUGACGCCUCAUAAUUCCACGGAGGAGGCUGUGUUACCGUUGUCUUUUGAUUUGAGGAGGAAACGUGGGCUCAGAGAGGUGAAGCCCAAGGCCACGCAGCUGCCGCCCCCCCCCCCCCCCCCCCCACCAAGUGCUCUCUGGAUCGCUCUGAAUUUUCCUUGUACUGAUGGCCGCUGGCCCUUCUCCCUGCAGGUAGCUGUGAGGGUGGGACCCUGUGCUUGAACCACUGCGGCUUCUGUCUGGUGGGCAAGUGGCUCUGGCUGAUUUUCGCCUCAGGGUCAGCAUGGGCCGUGGGGCUCUUCUGCAGGAAACUUUAAUGAGAGUCCCGGGGGACACCCCUGGGGUUCAUGGUCCCCCAUCCCCCUCCUCCCCAGAGGAAACUUGUGCCAGUGCGGGCGUCCCCGGAGUGUCCACCCGUCAGUGGCCGUGGAGGAUGCAUUUGGGGCAGCCGUGGUGACCGUGUGGGACAGUGACUUGCACACCACAGAGAAGCCGACGGAUGCCUACGGGGACCUAGAUUUCCUGGGCGCCGGCCGCAAGGCCAGCAAUGUGAGGCUUGCCUGUCUGGGCGGGGCUGGGGUCCGGGAGCGGAAGCUGCAUGCCUCGGGGGUUCUCAGAGUUAGAGUCUGGGGGUGCCGCAGCUGAACGCUGUGUCUCCCCAUUUCCCAUCCCUGUCUUCGCUUCUCCCUGGAUCUCUCUCCCUCCACCCCUGUCUGUCUUUUCCAAAUCAUCCUCCCUCUCUCUGGGUCUCUGUCCCUCUCCCCCCACCCCCACCCCCACCCCCACCCCCCAUCUCUGUUCUCUGGGUCUCUGUCCCUUUCUCUGUUUCUGUGCCUUUCUCUCUGGGUUUCUGUCCCCUCCUCUGUCUCUGCCCCUUUCCCCGUGUCCCCUCCUCCUGUGUGUCCGCAGUUCCUCCGGCUCUCUGACCGCACGGAUCCAGCUACCGUUUACAAUCUGGUCACGCGCACGUGGGGCUUCCGGGCCCCGAACCUGGUGGUGUCAGUGUUGGGGGGGUCAAGGGGCCGCGUCCUCCAGACCUGGCUGCAGGACCUGCUGCGACGCGGGCUGGUGCGGGCUGCCCAGAGCACAGGUGACUGAGGCUGGGUGGCCGCUGCCCAUCCCCCCCGCAUCGCUGGCAUGCGGUCUCCCCGCGGCUCUGCAUGGGUUUUUGUCUCACUCUCUCUGUCUCUCCACACCUGUGUCUCUGGGCCUCACCAUCACUCUCUGUGUCUCCCUGUAGGGGCCUGGAUUGUCACCGGGGGGCUGCACAGGGGCAUUGGCCGGCACGUUGGUGUGGCUGUUCGAGACCACCAGACAGCCAGCACUGGGGGCACCAAGGUGGUGGCCAUGGGCGUGGCCCCCUGGGGUGUGGUUCGGAAUAGAGAGCUCCUCACCAACCCCAAGGUGGGACCCAGAGUCUUGGAAGAGGAGGGGGCUGGGAAUCCUGGGUCUGAGGGAGGAGGGGCUGGUGUCUGUCCUCCUGGUCCUGAUGGGAGAAACGCUCUUGUCUGGCCCCUCGCCCCCCGCCACCCCACCCCCACCCCCUCCCCCUCCCACCCCCCCACCCCACCCCCAGGGCUCAUUCCCUGCGAGGUAUCCGUGGCGCGGUGAGCCGGACGACGGGGUCCAAUGUCCGCUCGAUUACAACUACUCGGCCUUCUUUUUGGUGGAUGACGGCACCCAUGGCCGCCUGGGCGGGGAGAACCGCUUCCGCUUGCGCUUUGAGUCCUAUGUCGCCCAGCAGAAGACGGGCGUGGGAGGUGAGUGGCUGUUUCCACUCGGGACAGCAGCCCGAGGCUCCCGAUCCCAGUGGUUGAGGUUUGGGGAUUGAGGGACCGAGGAAUUACCACUGGUCAAGCGUCUUGUCCCAUUAUUUGCUCUGUUUUGAAAAAUCUUUAUCUCGAAAUGUAAGCUACACAAGAGUGGAUGGCUCGGGGGAGGUUUUACACUGACCCCGCGUGGGCAGCCCGCACCCAGAUCAAGAAAUUACUGGCCCCCAGAAGCCUUCUCCCUCCUGCACCCGAGGGUCACCCCGGUCCUGCCCUUAGGGCGUGGAAUGGUUCUGACCCUGUUUAUGCUUCCUGUGAAUAGAUUUCACCAUCUGUACGUUUUGGAGUCUGGCUUGUGAUAAUAUUAUUUCUGUGAGAUUCAUCCAUAUCAUUGCAGGAGUUGUAGUCUGUAAAUAACCCAUGGGUUAAAAGAAGCUAGGAAAUAUUUUCAACUGCAUGAUAAAAAACAUAUCACAUAUCAGCACUUUGGGGAUGCAGCUAAAGCAGUAUCUAGAGGGAAAUUUGUAGCUUUAAAAUGCAUAAAUCGAAAAAAGAAGAGGGGCACCUGGGUGGCUCAGUUGGUUAAGCAUCCAACUCUUGGUUUCACGUUUUUUAUUUAUUUUUGAGACAGAGAGAGCAUGAAUGGGGGAGGGGCAGAGAGAGAAGGAGACACAGAAGUGGAAGCAGGCUCCAGGCUCUGAGCCAUCAGCCCAGAGCCCGACGUGGGGCUCGAACUCACGGACCGCGAGAUCGUGACCUGAGCUGAAGUCGGACACUUAACCGACUGAGCCACCCAGGCGGCCCCCAACUCUUGGUUUCAGCUCAGGUCAUGAUCUCAUGGUUUGUGGGUUCGGGCCCCACAUCGGGCUCUGGGCUGAUGGCAUGGAGCCUGCUUGGGAUUCUGUCUCCCUCUCUCUCUGCUGCUCCCCUGCUCGUUCUCUAUCUCUCUCUCUCUCAAAAAUAAAUAAAUAAACAUUAAAAAAAGUUUUUGAAAAAAAAAAAAAAAGAAGAAACACUGAAUAUCAAGAGUUUAAGGCUCCAAUUGAGAAAAACAAACAAACACACAAAACUUAGAGGGGCCCCUGGCUGGCUCAGUCAGUAGACCCUUGGGCUCCUGAUUUCCAGGUUGUGAGUUUGAACCCCACGUUGGGUGUAGAGAUUACUUAAAAGUGAAAUCUUACAAAAAAAUUAAAUGAACAAACCCCUAGAACCAGAAUAGCAAAUCAAACCUGGGAAAAGUAGAAGCAAGGAAAUAAUAAAGACAAGGGCGGAAAUCAAUAAAAUAGGGAAAGGGACACCUGGGCGGCUCACUCAGUUACAUGUGGGACUCUUGAUUUUGGCUCAGGUCACGAUCUUAUGGUUUGUGAGAUGGAGCCCCGCGUCGGUCUCGCAUUGACAGUGCACAGCUUGCUUGGGAUUCUCUCUCCUUCUCUCUCUCUGCCUCUCCCCUGCAUUUGCACCAUCUGUAAAUAAACAAAUAAGUAAGUAAGUAAAUAAAUAAAAUAGGAACAAAUGUGCAGUGGAGAAAAUCAACUAAACCCAAAGCUGUUUCUUUGUAAACAUUUUUUAUCUUUUAAAAAGUAUCCACGGAAUGCCUGGCUGGCUCAGUUGGUGGAGCAGAAGGCUCUUGAUCUCCGGGUUGUGGCCUCCAGCCCCAUGUUGGGCGUAGAGAUUACUUAAGAACAAAAUUAAUCUUUUUUUUUUUAAUGUUUAUUUUUGAGAGAGAGACAGAGCAUGAGAGGGGAGGGGCAGAGAGAGAGAGAGGGAGACACAGAAUCGGAGGCAGGCUCCAGGCUCUGAGCUGUCAGCACAGAACCUGACGCGGGGCUGGAACCCAUGACCCGCGAGAUCAUGACCUGAGCCGAAGUCUGACGCUUAACCGACUGAGCCACCCGGGCGCCCCAAUUUAUCUUUUUUUUUUUUUUUUUUAACUUCUCUCUCAAAAUAAAUAAAUAAACAUUAAAAAAAGAAAUAAUUUCUUAAAACAAUAUUUAUUUAUUUUGAGUGGAGUUUCCAGUUUUCUGAGAGUGUAAACCAUGUUUUCUUCCAAUAGAUCCCUUUGUCUUUUCCAGCUCGAAAAAAGACGAGUUUGUACUACAGUUUUACUUUCUUGCGUUAUUACAUUGGCUCAAUACUCAUGUAUGAGUGUGAAUAGGAGUAAUGUUAUCUUGUUCGUUAUUUUAAUGGGAAUAGAGUUAGUAGAAAACUAUCCGAGAUGAUUUUGCUGUUGGGCUUUGGGAAAGGUCUUUAUUAUAUUUAGGUAGUCCUUUCUUGGGCACCUGGGUGGCUCAGUUGGUCGAGAGUACAACUUCCGCUCAGGUCAUGAUCUCAAGGUUUGUGAGCUUGAGCCCCGCACGGAGCUCACGGCUGUCAGCUCGGAGCCUGUUUUGGAUCCUCCCUCUCUGUGCACCUCCCCCGCUUACGCUGUCUCUCAAAAAUAAAUAAAAACAUUUAGACAGUCCUCUCUUUCUUUUCUUUUUCUUUUAUUUUUUUUAACGUUUAUUUAUUGUUGAGAGACAGAGAGACACAAAACGUGAGCAGGGGAGGGGUAGAGAGAGGGGGAGACAUAGAAGCCGAAGCAGGCUGCAGGCUCUGAGCUGUCAGCACAGAGCCCGACGCGGGGCUCGAACUCACAAAACUGUGAGAUCAUGACGUGAGCCAAAGUUGGAUGCUUAAUCGACUGAGCCAUCCAGACGCCCCUAAAGAUUUUAUUUUAUUUUAUUUUUUAUUUUUUUAAUUUUUUUUUCAACGUUUAUUUAUUUUUGGGACAGAGAGAGACAGAGCAUGAAUGGCGGGAGGGGCAGAGAGAGAGGGAGACACAGAAUCGGAAACAGGCUCCAGGCUCUGAGCAGUCAGCCCAGAGCCUGACGCGGGGCUCGAACUCCCGGACCGCGAGAUCGUGACCUGGCUGAAGUCAGACGCUUAACCGACUGCGCCACCCAGGCGCCCCAAGAUUUUAUUUUUAAGUAAUGUCUACACUCAACAUGGGGGUCAAACUCAGAACCCUGAGAUCAAGAGCCUCUUGCUCUACUGACUGAGCCAGCCAGGUGUCCCUAGAUAGGCCUUUCUGUUCCUUAUUUCCUUCGUCUUUUGUUUGAACUUCAUCCUUUCCUGGCUCCUGGGCCAUUAACCAGUUAUAGGAGUGACUCAUACCAUAAAUACCUGCCUCAGUCAGGAGUCCAGGAGUCCAGGCCACCAGCCCUUACUCCCCUGGCAAGCCGAAAUUGACUGCCCCUCCCAACGUGCUCAAAGAUAUGACAAUUCCCGUGAGCCUCAGGACACAGGAUUACACAGAAGCCAUGUUUGUCCCGGGGACUCAUGGGAAACGUGGUUCUUUCCCAUCCCUGGCAAAGGCUGAUAGGAGUUGACCAAGCUUCUGGGUUUCUCUCUCCUCAGGGACUGGAAUUGACAUCCCUGUCCUCCUCCUCCUGAUCGAUGGUGAUGAGAAGAUGUUAAAGGUAUAGGGGCCCGUGGGGCCCCUGGGGGCCUCAGUCGGUUGAGCAGCCGACUGUUGAUUUUGGCUCAGGUCACAGUGUCGCGGUCACGAGAUCGAGCCCUGCAUCAGGCUCUGUGCUGAGCAUUGGAGCCUACUUGAGAUUCUUCCUCUCUCUCUCUCUCUCUCUCUCCGGCUUGCACUCUCUUGCUCUAAAUCAAUAAAUCAAUAAUACAGGUGUGGGGGCCCAGACACCUCGGUCUAAGUGGGGGCCCUGACUCCUGGCUCCUGAGACUUGGGGGGGGGGGGGGGAGGCUGGGGAUCUGGACUCUGGGUGGGGCGAACACCUGCCUUCCCACACCUGACUGCCCCCCUUUGUCUAUCCUGUAGCGGAUAGAGAAUGCCACCCAGGCUCAGCUCCCCUGCCUGCUGGUGGCUGGGUCUGGGGGAGCUGCAGACUGCCUGGCGGAGAUUCUGGAAGACACUCUGGCUCCAGGGAGAGGGGGGAGCAGGCCAGGUGAAGUCCAAGAUCGGAUUAGGCGUUUCUUCCCCAAAGGGGACCCUGAGGUCCUGCAGGCCCAGGUAUGAUACUGGGGGUCCAACUCUGGAUCCUGAGAUGGGAGGGAGCUUUUUUCAGGGAAGAGGGGAAUGGAGGCCCAGACUCAUGGAUUUGGGGAGGAGAGGCCUGGGGGCCCAGCCUCCCAGGUUCUGGGGGGUGAAGGGUGCUGGCACCUAGACUACCAGGCCCUAGAGGGGAACGGUCUCCUGUGACCGUGGACGGGGCCCAGGUGGAGUUGGGCUGGGAGUUACAGAAGGUGGUAUUCCGCAGGUGGAGAGGAUCAUGACCCGGAAGGAGCUGCUGACAGUCUAUUCAUCUGAGGAUGGCCCUGAGGAAUUUGAGACCAUUGUUUUGAGGGCCCUUGUCAAAGGUGAGCCUCGGACCCCCAAACUCUUCCCUGCUCUCCGCUCGACUUUGGACCCCUUUCCCGCCCAGAGCACUUUAUCCAUUGUCUCUAAUCUACAUUGGGCUCCUUUUUGUCUCUUUCCUUUUAUUAUUCCCCUCGGCCGUGUUUCUUGGGGCUUUGCCUGGGGUCAUUUGGACAGUUUUCCCAAGAGACUUUCGUUAUGUGCCAACAUUGGUUUCUUUCUGUUGGAUCCACGAGUGCCCGCGUCCAUCUAUCUUUCAUCCGUCCAACCAUCCGUCCAUCCGCCCAUCCAUUCUCCCACUCUCCUUUUCUUCCUCUCCUACGUGGCUCCUCUGUUUCAAGCAGCGAGGGGUAGGGGAGUCAGAGAGGACCCAGAACGCUGCUUCCUGCUGAGAAAUUCCCAGUAUUUCACUAUUAGAAUGAAUGGCGAAAACCGAGGGUGGGAGCAUAAUGGCUACCUGGUAGAGGCUGGGCUGGGGAUCAUUUGUUCCCUCAGCAAACACCACCUUAGGGUCCAGAGAUCAAAGCGGAUCCAUUUCCUGCUCUCAAGGACCCCAGAUCCUACGAGGGUUGUUCCGACACAACGUUAAGUAAAAUUUAAGACCAAAGUGUAGGGGAGGAACCACUGUCAGUAAAGAGACAAGGAGGAGGUAUUUAAGUGGGCCUUGAAGGGCUCGUAGAAUCUGGACUUAGUAAGAUGAGGAAGUGGGAUAAAUAAAUGGUAAGGAGUAGGGGCACCUGGGUGGCUCAGUCGGUUGAGUGUCUGACUUCUGCUCAGGUUACGAUCCCGCGGCUUGUGAGUUCGAGUCCCACGUCGGGCUCUCUGCUGUCCACGCAGAGCCUACUUCGGAUCCUCUGUUCCUCUCUUGCCCUGCCCCUCCCCAGCUUGCGCUCUCUCAAAAAGAAACAUUAAAAAAAAAAUGGUAGAGUGGGGAGGGUCGUUUUUGGUGUCAGAAAUGUUAUCGGGGAAACACUCCCAUAGAUAAAAACUCCCGAGAGGCAUAGCGUCAAUUUAUUAAUUCGUUCUCAGCCCCAGGCCCCCACCCCAGGUGUAUCUGUCAUGUUCUGGGAUGUGACAGAAAGAGCAGUUACUCUUUUUUUUUUAAAAAAUAAUAUUUUUGAGAGAGAGAGAGAGAGAGGAGCAGAGAGAGAGGGAGACAGAAUCCCAAGCAAGCUCUGCACGGUCAGGGGUGAGCUCCAUGCGGGGCUCGUCACAAACCCUGAGAUCAUGACCUGAGCUGAAAUCAAGAGUCGGAUGCUUAACCGACACGAGCGGUUACUUUUGACUUUGGAGUCAGAUAAAGCUGAAUUGGAAUACCAGUUUGGUCCCUGCCUUUCUGUGGACCUUGAGAAAGAGACUACCCUCCUCUGAGCCUCAGUUUCUCUCUCUCUGAAAAAUGGAGAGAAUACCUUGCAGGAGUGUUGUGAGCCCCAGGGACAGCUCAUGAACAAUGCCUGGUUCCCACGGGCGGGCCAAUAAAUGGGAGCUCUUCUUCUCCUUCUUCUUUUAAUUUUUUUAAUGUUUAUUUAUUUUUGAGAGAGAGACAUAGUGCAAGUGGGGGAGGGGCAAAGAGAGAGAGACACACAGAAUCCAAAGCAGGCUCCAGGCUCUGAUCUCUUAGCACAGAGCCGGAGGUGGGACUCGAACUCACAGCCGGGAGAUCGUGACCUGAGCCAAAGUCGGAAGCUUAACCGCCUGAGCCCCCGGGGGGCCCCUACAUGGGAGCUCUUCUUAAUAUAAUUCCAUUUCUCGUAGGGACACAUUCUUUUUUUUUUUUUUUUUUUUAAUGUUUAUCUUUGAGACAGAGGGAGACAGAGCGUGAGUGGGGGAGGGGCAGAGAGAGAGGGAGACACAGAAUCCGAAACAGGCUCCGGGCUCUGAGCUGUCAGCACAGAGCCCGACGCGGGGCUCGGACCCACGAACUCUGAGGUCAUGGCCUGAGCCGAAGUCGGACGCUUAACCGACUGAGCCACCCAGGCGCCCCUCGUGGGGACACAUUCUUACAUGGAGAAUGGCAAUCAGCGAGCAAAUCCGAUUCACUUCACAGAAGUUGACUCCCAGCCUCCUGGGAGAAAAGAGAGCGGCUCUGUACAAGAGGUGCUUUGCCGGGGACAGUGUUGACAGUGUUGGCUGAAGGGGUGCAAGCGAUCCCCCUCUGCUGGGGAAAUUGGAGAUGGCCGGGCGGACUGGGUCAUAGCAGAUGGAUGGGGUUUCAGCGGGUGUGGAAGGAAGCAUGUUCCUUAAAGAGCGUGGGAUGAGCCUGGGCUGAGCAGUUAGCAUACAUUUUGCCCGCAGGGGGUGGGGUGGGGCUAGGGCCAGAGGGUCAGGGGGCUAGAGAGGUGGGGCUUGGGGAUGUGAACGGAAGGGGGGGCAGGCACAGCGAAUCGGGGUGGGAGGGGGUCUGCCUCAUCCACUGGGUGGACAAAGGGGGGCCCUCCCUGAGAUGCCGAACCCAGGGAAGGUCGGUUCUGGGGAAAGACGCUGAGCUCCACUGGGGGACAUGAUGAACCUGAAGGGCUGUGGGGGGGGGGGGGGGGGGGGGGGGAGGUCCAGGUGAUCACUGGGGAGACGUGAUUAGGCAGAAUAUAAAGCGAGAUAUUGCAAAUCUUUUUUUUUUUUUCCUUCUCUGGAAACUGUGAGGAAAGUAGGGGAGGUUUAUUUAUUUUUAAUUCAAAAAUUUUAACUGUAUUUAUUUUGAGAGAGCGCGCGAGCGAGCAGGGAAGGAGCAGAGAGGGGAGGAGAGAGAGGAUCCCAAGCAGGCUCUGAGCGGUCAGCGGUGAGCCAGAGGCAGGGCUGGAACUCACAAACUGUGAGAUCAUGACCUGAGCCGAAGUCAGGGGCUUAACCGACUGAGCCACCCAGGCGUCCCCAAGGCGGGGAACCAUUAUCAUUCCCAUUUUAUAGGUGAGGAAACUGAGGCUCCCAAGGUCCAGUGGCUUUCCUGACGAGACACUCAGUUGGUGCCGGCAGAGCUGGGAUCGGAUCCCAGGUCCGCCUGCUUCGGCCCAUUGCUCAUCGGCCCCCCCACUAGAUUACACCCCCUCCUUCCGCCAUACCCACUUUGGGAACCACCAAAAUGUGAUGAAAGUCCCUCCUUUGUUUUGGAAAUCGACGUGGAGCAAGCAGAGGGAGAAGGAAACACGGACUCCAUGGCACAGGGGCUCUGAGGCCCAGCCGUGUCUACACUUGCCCGACUUCUUGGCACCACUGGCUGCCUCACCUUUCAGGCUCUCGUUGACCGCAUCUGUUUGGAUCCAUGAAUUGUUGGAUCCAAGUUUUGCUCUCCCUCGUCCCCCACCCCCACCCCAGUGAUCUCCAGGGUCUCCCAGAAGCCCUUUUCAUGUUUGGAUAUUUUUUCCAGUCUCAUUUUCUGCUACUCAUUUUUCUUCUCUGUCUUCUCACAAAUACCCUUAAGUUUCAGGAAAUCAGAGCGACUCACUUUUGCCAUCGCAUCCUGUGUUUUCCUGCACCCAGACCUUCGCUUGGGCUGCUCCCUGCUGCCUUGAAGUUUCUUUCCUCAUCUUAGACGCACACCUCCGAAUCCUGCCUGUCUUUCUUUUUUUUUUUUUUUUUUUUAAAUUUUUUUUUUUUCAACGUUUAUUUAUUUUGGGGACAGAGAGAGACAGAGCAUGAACGGGGGAGGGGCAGAGAGAGAGGGAGACACAGAAUCGGAAACAGGCUCCAGGCUCUGAGCCAUCAGCCCAGAGCCUGACGCGGGGCUCGAACUCACGGACCGCGAGAUCGUGACCUGGCUGAAGUCGGACGCUUAACCGACUGCGCCACCCAGGCGCCCCGUGCCUGUCUUUCAAAAGCCCUACCUCAAUGCCCCUCCUCUAGGAGGCCCCCUUGGAUCCCCCUCACACCUCCCCGAGCAUAGCCUCCCCCCUCUCACCAUUCCCUUUGAGGGUAGUUUUGUGGUUCCUGGACACAUGUCUCUGGAAUGAUCUCCUUCAAGGCAGAGGCUGCAUGGGGUUUCUCUCUCUAUCCCGCCCACUGCCUGGUCCAUAACCUACCUCAAUAAAUGUUAAAUGGAUGAAUGAUUUCCUUUCCUUCUUCUUGAGGACUCUAGACCACUGGUCUGCGCAUGACCUCGUGCUUGCAAUAGCCUGACUUCUUAAAGACCCCAGGCUGUACCCGACAACAGCCCCUUUCUAUGGGGUUUAAAUGUCAGGUAUCCCCCACAGAAGCAAAACAGACAUUCAUCUGAAGUCCCCCCCCCCACUCUUUCAGCCUGUGGGAGCUCUGAAGCUUCAGCUUACCUGGACGAAUUGCGUUUGGCUGUGGCUUGGAACCGCGUGGACAUUGCCCAGAGUGAACUCUUCCGAGGGGACAUUGAAUGGCGGGUGAGGGGGCGGAACGGGGUGGGGGGUGGUGGUGGCGGCUGUGGAUCCUGACAAGGAGGAUGCACUCUCCUCCCUCCCUGACUUCUUCCACAUCUGACUCGCCCUUGCAUUGUGGCCUGUCCAGCCUUCUCUUAAUUGUCCAUCUGUUCCGUCUUGUUUCCACUAUCCCCAUCCAUCCAUCCAUCCAUCCAUCCACUCACCCACCCACCUACCCAUCCGUGGUGCACUCUUGGCUCUGUACCCCAUCUCUUGUCCUUAACGUCUGCCCUCCGCGGGCCUUCUGUCUUCUGUGCUCUUCUCUUACCCCAUCAAUCCUCGCCCUGCCAGUCCUUCCACCUGGAAGCCUCCCUCAUGGACGCCCUCCUGAACGACCGGCCCGAGUUCGUGCGCUUGCUCAUCUCCCACGGCCUUAGCGUGGGCCACUUCCUGACCCCGACGCGCCUGACCCAGCUUUACAGCGCCGCGCCCGCCAACUCGCUCAUCCGCGGCCUUCUGGAGCAGGCGUCCCACGGCGCCGGCACCAAAACCCCAGCCCUUACACCCUCUGGGGAGCCCCGACCCCCUGACGUGGGGCAGGUGCUGCGGCUGCUGCUGGGGGAGACGUGCGCGCCGAGGUACAGCGCCGGGGGCGUCGUGGAUCCCCACCGGGGCCAAGGCUACCAGGAGAGCGUAAGGACCGAGCGAGGCCAGGCUGCGCGGGGAGGAGGUGCCGAAGGACCUGGGGGCGGGGCCGGGGAGGGGUGUGCGCCCGGACGGGGGUGGGGCUGAUGGCUGGGGGCGGGGUCAGGGAGGGCCAGUCCUCACCACGCCUCCCUCGCCGCAGAAGUGCCUGCUGAAGGACAAGGCCCCGUCGGAACUCACGCUGGACGCCGUCCUCGGGCAGGCCCCCUGGAGUGACCUGCUCCUCUGGGCGCUGCUCCUGAACAGGGCUCAGAUGGCCCUGUACUUCUGGGAGAUGGUGAGUGCUGACGUGAUCUCCGAUUCUACUUUUCUCUGUGUCCCGCCCUGUCCUUUAUUUCUACUGGACCCCAGUGCCUGGCCCCUGACGUCACCCCCACCCCCACCCCCACCCCCGUUCGCCAUUCCUGAUAGAUGACGCCAUCCCCUGCUUCUCCACCCGCCCCACCCCCAGUAUCACGCCUUUCUCCUGACUUGUCGUUUCCAUCAGCAAUAUAUAUUGGGCGUUUUCCCUUGUCCAUACACGGGACUCCGCCUCAUUCUCUCGGAAUGGUUACCUCCAAGGGGAAGUUAGAAGGUUAUCUGGUAGCCGAGGGGGAGUCAUUUAAACAUAGUUACACCUGGAAAAUCGAGAUGCAUCGUGGUAGUGGCCAUGUCGAAGGGGACAAAACCCGAGGCAAGGACACCAGCUAAGAAGGUGAAUCUGGAGGCCUCCAGGCAGCCAAGAUGAGGGCCUGGACUAAAACAGGUGCGAUGGAGGUGUUGGGACCCAUUGGAGAAGCUUGAGAAGUUUUUAAAGAGAAAGAAAGAAAAAAAGAAGAGUCGGAGGGUUUGAGGAGGAUCUAAGAUUGAGCCUAUUUUUAUAGCACAGAAAUAUCUUAACAGGACUUCUUCAUCCUUGGGUUGUUUUCAGCCCAUCAGGCCAUGGCUUAAAUAUAGAAUUAAAAAAAAUAUAUGUUUUUUAAUGUUUGUGUUUGAGAGAGAAAGAGACAGCACAAGCAGGGGAGGGGCAGAGAGAGGGAGAGAGAGGGAGACACAGAAUCCGAAGCAGGCUCCAGGCCCUGAGCUGACAGCGCAGAGCCCGAGGCAGGGCUUGAACCCACCACCCGUGAGAUCAUGACCUGAGCCAAAGUCAGACACUUAGCCGACUGAGCUACCCAGGGGUCCCCCCCCCCCAUUUUUAAUAUUUAUUUUUGAGAGAGAGCACAAGUGGGGGGCAGAGAGGGGCAGAGAGAGAGAGAGAGAGAGAGAGAGAGAGAGAAUCUGAAGCAGUUUCCAGGCUCUGAGCUGUCAGCACAGAGCCUGACUCAGGGCUCAGACUCACAAACCAUGAGAUCAUGACUUGAGCUGAAGUCGGACGCUCAACCGACUGAGCCACCCAGGGGCCCUUAGAUUUCUUUUUUCAUCGAGAUCAAAUUCAUCUAAUAUAAAAUUCACCAUUGGAACCACUUAAAACUGCACAAUUCAAUAGCCUUUAGUAGGCUCGCAGUGUUGGUUCAACCUCUAGUUCCAGGACGGUUUCAUCAUCCCAGAAGGAAACCCCCAACCCAUUUGACACUCGCUCCCCAUUCCCUCCUCCCCCAGCCCCUGGCAAUGACUAAUCUGCUCCCGGUCUCUAUGGACCUGCCCAUUCUGGAUACUUUAUAGAAAUGGAAUCAUCUCUGAUGUGGCUUUUUUUGCACUUGACUUCUUAUGCUUAGUAUAGUGUUUUUGUGGGUCAUCCCGGCUUGUAGGUAUAGGCGUGCUUCCUUCUAUUUUGCAUCUGAAUAAUAUGCCCUUGUAUGGAUACGCCACGUUUUGUUUAUCCAUUCAUCUCUUGCUGGUCGCAUGGGUUGUUUUGACUUUUUUGGCUAUUGUGAAUAAUAGUGCUGUGAACACUGGUGUGGAAAUACCUGCUCGGGUCCCUCCUUCCCGUUGUUUUGCGUAUAUACUGAGGACUCCAAUUGCUGGAUCAUAUAGUAAUUCUGGGUUAAAUUUUUUGAGGCACUGCCGUUCUAUUUUCCAUAGUGGCCGCACCAUUUUACAUUCCCGUCAGCAGUGUGCAGGGGUUCCAAUUUCUCCACAUCUCCACCACCCCUGUUAUUUUCUGUUUGUUUGUUUGUUUGUUUGUCUGUUUUUUAGAACUGGCAUCCUAAUGUGGUUUCGAUUUGUGUUUCCUUAAUGAUUAAUGACACGGAGCAUCUUUUCAUGGGCUUAUUGACCAUCCGUUUAUCCUUGGAGAAAUGUCUAUUCAAGUCCUUUGUCCAUUUUAUAAAUUGGUUUGUUUAUCUUGUUGUUGUUGUUGUUGUUGUUGUUGUUGUUGAAUUGUACGAGUUUUUUAUAUGCUCUGGAUAUCAAUCCCGUAUCAGGCAUAUGACUUGCAGAUAUUUUCUCUCUUGCUGUGGAUUGCCUUUUCAUUCUGUUGACAGUGUUCUUUGAUUCACAAAAGUUUUAAAUUUUGACCAAGUCCAACUUGUCUUUUUUCUUUGUUUUUGCUUUUGGUGUCAUAUCUAAGUAACUAUCGCUAAAUCCAAGGUCAUGAAGUUUUAUCCCUGUGUUAUCUUCGGAGGGUUUUAUGGUUUUGUAAUUAUAUGAACUAUAACUAUUUAAUCCUACACGUUAGUCUUACUGAGAUUCCCCAUGUGUGAUCAGUCACUUCUCCUUUGCUGAUCUUACGAGUCUCUGGUUUUGGCUUUUGACAAUUUGAUUAAGAUGUUUUUCAGUGUGAACCUCUUUGAAUUUAUCCUACUUCGAGUUCCUUGCUCUUGCACGUACAGAUUCAUGUCUUUCAUCAAAAUUUGGGGAGUUUUCCUCCAUUAUAUCUUGAAAUAUUCUUUCUAGCCAUUUCUCACGGUCCUCUCCCUUUGGGACUCCUAUUAUACAUAUAUUGGUGUGGUUGAUAGUGUCCCACAGGUCUUCUAGGUUCUGUUUAUUUGUCUUCAUUCUUGUUUCUCUCUGCACCCCAAACCGGAUCGUCUCAACUGAUCUGUCUUCAAGUUCAUGCGUUCUUUCUUCUGUCUCCUCAAAGCUGAUGUUGAGCCCUUCUAGUGCAUUUUUCAUUUCAGUUACUGCACUUUCUAGCUCCAGAAUUAUUACCUUUGUUUUUGUUUUUUGUUUUCUGGUAAUUUCUGUUUUUUUAUUCCUAUUCUCUAGUAAGACAUCCUUCUCCUGGCUUUCUUGAGUUUUUGUCCAUGAUUUCCUUUAGCUCUUUGAGCACAUUUCAGGCAAUUAAUUUAAAGCCUUUGUCUAGUAAGUCUGGUGUCUCAGCUUCUGCAGGGACGGUUUCUGUUUCUUUUUUUUUCCCUGAUACUGUGCCAUACUUUCUUGUUUCUUUGCCUGCCACAUCGUUUUGUUUUGUUUUAACUGGGCAUUUUGAAUAAUAUAGUGUGGCCGCUCUGGAAGUCAGCUCACCCCCUUCCUUCAGGGUGCGUUGUGGUUUGUUGUGUUGACGGUGGUGGUGUUUGUUCAGUGACUUUUCUAAGCUCUUUUGUAAAGUCUUUAUUCUUUGUCAUGUGUGGCCCCUGAAGUCCCUGUUCCGUUAGGUUAGUGGCCCGCUAGUGACUUGACAGAGAAAUCCUUAAAUGCCCAGGGCCUGGGAGGGGGGGACGGGGGAGGGGCCCAACACUCCUGGUUUGCAGAUUGGCUCUGUGUUGGAGCUGUCUUUCUUUUUCUUUUAAAAAUUUUUAAUGUUUAUUUUUGAGAGAGAAAGAAAGAGCGCAGGGGAGGGGCAGAGAAAGAGGGAGAGAGAGAGAUUCCCAAGCAGGCUCUGCGCCAUCGGCACGGAGCCCGAUGUGGGGCUCGAACUCACAAACCCCGAGAUCGUGACCUGAGCCGAAACCAAGAGUCAGACACUCAACUGGCUGAGCCACGCAGACACCCCUGGAGCUGUCUUUCGACACUCAGGCAGGCUGUUUGCCAUUCUGCCUUAGCCUUCACUUCCUGCUUUUGCUGACACAAAAGGUCGGCAAGAGGUGAAAAGUUAGGGUUUUCUCGAAUCUCUUCUGAGCCUGCACCAUCUCAGUCAUGCAUGUAGCCUUCUAGAUUCCCUGAGACACGUAGGAACUCCUCAAACCCUUAUUCCUUCAACUCUCCUCUCCCCCAGCCGCUUCCCUCCCCAGCUGCUGAGUAUAUUUAUCUUUCGUUCGCCUCGACUGUUAUUUUUUGCCUCAGGCGGCUGAGGCUAAUCUAUUUGUCCUUAAAUGCUUUCUGACACCGCCCGGGAAGCCAUUUCUGGUUGGGGGAAGCCCCGAGAACCUUGAGACAAAACGCAGGCCCUCGAGCUGUUCCUUCAGAUAGCCACCAGCUAAAUCCACACGGGCACACAACCACAAUUAUUUAAGGAGAAGAUCUGAAUCUCCCUCUGGUACCAACAGCUUGCACCAGGAACAGGCCGCCCUUGAGCCGGGGUGUUGACAGUGGUAGUUAAAAUGUCACAGCGCUCUUUUGCCCAAACUUGGUGUUUUCUUUCUUCGUUGAACUUUCUCCUAUUUGUUGUAAGUUUUAUAGUCCGGUCUUGGACUCUGAGAAAGUUGGUUCUGACAGUUUUUGCCAGCUUAUCUGUUGCUUUUUGGAGAGACAGAGUUUUGAAAUUCCGUACUCUGCCAGUUUAGGGGACAUUUCUUCCAACUGCUGCUUGACCUGUCUGAAACCUCUGAGGUCAUUUGAACUCUACCCCAGCCCCGCUCCCUGAACUAUCUGACUUUUUUUUUUUUUUUAAGUUUAUUUAUUUAUUUUGAGAGAGAGCUCGCGUGCACGAACUGAGAGAAACAGGGAGAGAAUCCCAAGCGGGCUCCGUGCUGUCAGCACAGAGCCUGAUGUGAGGUUUGAUCUCAUGAAGUGUGAGAUCAUGACCUGAGCCUAAAUCAAGAUUCGGAUGUUUAACCCACUGAGCCACCCGGGUGCCCCUGAACUUCCUGACUUUUGACAUUUUCACCUGAUGCCCAGAUUCACCUACAAACAUUGCUUCAAUCUUGGCCUCUGAUGACCCUGGUUAAUUUCUCACUUCUGGCUCUGUCCUUUCCCUUGACCACAGGCUUCCCCCCCCCCCCCCCCCCCCACCACCUUCCGUGAGCCUCUCUAAACUCAGACUCCAUCUGGGGGGUGGCUCAGUCCGUUAAGAAUCCGACUUCAGCUCAGGUCAUGAUCUCAUGGUGUGUGAGUUCCGCCCCGCGUCAGGCUCUGUGCUGACAGCUCAGAGCCCGGAGCCUCCUUCGGAUUCUGUGUCUCCCUCUCUCUACCCCUCCCGCGCUCAUGCUCUGUCUCUCUGUGUCUCAAAACUAAUAAAUAAAACAUUGAAAAAAAAAAACAACAAACUGUGACCCGUAUCCAUGACCCCUCUCUCUGUCUCUUCAGGGCUCCAACGCCGUGGCCUCGGCUCUCGGGGCCUGUUUGCUGCUCCGCGUGCUGGCGCGCCUGGAGUCUGAGGCGGAGGAGGCGGCCCGGAGGAAGGACCUGGCGGCCAAGUUUGAGGGCCUGGGUGUUGGUGCGUCAGGCACGCGUGCGUGGGGGCGGAGACAGGGAGCUGCCUUGAGGGGUGUGCGCGUCCCCCCCACUCCUCCUCGCGCGGCCCUGCGCCUUCCCCUUCGGUCCCCUCGUCCUUCCCCGCACACCGCGCCCUCGCUCCUUCUCUUCCCUCAUUUAUGUCUCCCGCCCCCAGACCUUUUCGGGGAGUGCUACCGCAGCAGCGAGAAACGGGCCGCUCGCCUACUGCUCCGCCGCUGCCCGCUCUGGGGGGAUGCCACCUGCCUGCAGCUUGCCAUGCAGGCCGACGCCCGUGCCUUCUUUGCCCAGGACGGGGUCCAGGUGAGCCCCUGAGGUGCCGGCAUCCUCAACAGUUCCCACCUGGACUUUGGGAUGCAUGGAGGAUAAGCCCCUGCCACUGCGGGCAGCGAAUGGACUUGACCGGCCUCCCGCUGGGAGACCACCCACCCUCCAGAAAUUCUCAGCCCUCUCCCAGAAGGGCUGCUCUUUCAGAAGAAGCCCCACCCCCUGCCACGGGAAAGCCAACCUUCCCACAGCAAAGCCCACCCUCCUAAAAAGCUCCCUCCGCGAUAGGGAAAUUCCUGGUGGCUUUAGGAAGUCCCCUCUGGCACGCAGGAAGUCCUCCCCACUCCCACGGGAAGUCUCACUCCUCCCAACGGAAGCCCUGCCUCCUCCACAGGAAGGCCUUCCUGCUUCCUUUGAGAGGUCCUCAGUUCCAGGUCUCAGCAGUUAGAAUGACCUCUCUGGACAGUUACCUAGUGUUUUGGACAGAGAUGAACUCUGGUUUAGGAAUCCCACCCUUCCCCCCCCGGGGAAAUCCUCUCCUUUGGGAAGCCCUGCUUGGCUCACGGUCGCUCCCAUCCUGACCAUCCUGACGUUUUAAAACCUUUCCCACUAUCAAUCUAAAGCUGAACAGGGGUGGGGCACCUGGCUGCCUCAGUGACUCUUGAUCUCAGGCUCAGGGUGGUAAGUUCAAGCCCCAACGUCGGGCAUAAAGCUUACUUAGAAAAAAAAAACACACACACACCUGACAGGGGCUCAGAGAAUCCCACCCUCAGUACAGGAAGUCUGCCCACCCCAACCGGAAGUCCUGUCCUCCCCUGUCCGGAAGGAUUUGUCUGGCAUUUCAAGUAGUUACCCAGAGUCCUUUGCUUUGAAUGGUGGUGACACUCGUGAGUUCCAGCUUGGGUCUCUUCCUUAACCUCUCCGUGCCCCAUCUGUGAAAUGGGAGAAAAUACUAGUCAGUACCUGUUCUCCUGGGGGUGGGGUGGGGUGGGGGUGGGGGAGGGGGUGGUGAGAGUUCAGUGAUCUCAUCUAUGUAAAAUGCUUCACCUGGUAUCUAGCAUAUUGUGUUAAUAAAUGUUGGUUUUGUAACUCUACCCGCUAAAACCUGGGACAGGUCCUCCUCACCUUUGACCCUCCCCCCCCCCCCAAAAAAAAGUUACGGCCGCCAUAUUGGGCGCUUGCUCUGUGUGCUGCAGCUGUUGCCCAGUUCUUCCCUGGGGUCUUUGGAAAGGGGCUGUGGGGAGAUUCAGGCUCUGAACCCUCCUCACACCCCACAGUCUCUGCUGACACAGAAGUGGUGGGGGGAGAUGGACAGCACCACUCCCAUCUGGGCCCUGGUUCUCGCCUUCUUUUGCCCCCCACUCAUCUACACCAACCUCAUCACCUUCAGGUCAGUCCCUGGGGUCCGACCGGCAGGAGGGGGGUGGUGCUCAGUUUGCCCUUCCUGCUCACAUCUGGCUGCCUCCCCACUUGGUCUGUCCAGUGCUUCCCCUCCCCGUUCGCUCUCUUUCCCUCCCCAAGACUGGGGGCGUGUCUGGGAGGUGAGCUUCCGGGGGGGGGGGGGGGGAGAUCCCUUUGGGGUGAGUCUAGGAAAGUUCCUCGCUGUCUCCCUGCCAGUGUCUCUGGGUGAAGAAGUUUGGGUCUGUGUCUGGAGAAUUCCUCCUGCGCUUGCCCCGUCCCCGUUCCUCACCCUGCGUUUUCCUCCAUGCCAGGAAGCCAGAGGAGGAGUCCACACAGAAGGACCUGGCCUUUGACGUGGAUCGGGGCGUCAACGGGGAAGGCCCC
This 23000-nucleotide long non-coding RNA is filed under the name Lynx pardinus (Iberian lynx). The stretch from base 11185 to 11269 matches the Rfam family "tRNA". The record is from RNAcentral. Lineage: Eukaryota; Metazoa; Chordata; Mammalia; Carnivora; Felidae.